Molecule: non-coding RNA, 291 nt
Organism: Vicia faba (fava bean)
Lineage: Eukaryota; Viridiplantae; Streptophyta; Magnoliopsida; Fabales; Fabaceae
Source: the annotation of a GenBank genome assembly
AUGGAGAUUCCCCUUGGUCUAAUUCCACGCCUUAUGACGAAAGGAGAGUCGGCGUGGCGUAAAGUGAAGAUUGAGGGAAAUAGAGAUAAAUUACCUUCUGGGGUAUUCCGAAGGUGUAACCUAGGCAACGAAAGAAAAAGGGGCCCGAGACUUCAACUAGAGGAGCGACCAGUUGGUUCACCAAACCCCGACCCAGCGUCACGCGUUCUCCAGGUCCGAAGGGAUCCAGUGCCCAACUACCGACUCCUUCCGGAAUUGCGUUAUCGGAGCCGAGCCAGGAAUGGCCGUUAG